This 440-nucleotide ribosomal RNA is filed under the name uncultured bacterium. RNAcentral describes it as "partial 16S ribosomal RNA". It matches the Rfam family "Bacterial small subunit ribosomal RNA", at positions 338 to 795 of the family's 1533-position model. The record is from RNAcentral.
CCUACGGGGGGCUGCAGUGGGGAAUAUUGCACAAUGGGCGAAAGCCUGAUGCAGCAACGCCGCGUGAGUGAUGAAGGCCUUCGGGUUGUAAAGCUCUGUCUUUUGGGACGAUAAUGACGGUACCAAAGGAGGAAGCCACGGCUAACUACGUGCCAGCAGCCGCGGUAAUACGUAGGUGGCGAGCGUUGUCCGGAUUUACUGGGCGUAAAGGAUGCGUAGGCGGAUAUUUAAGUGAGAUGUGAAAUACCCGGGCUUAACUUGGGUGCUGCAUUUCAAACUGGAUAUCUAGAGUGCGGGAGAGGAGAAUGGAAUUCCUAGUGUAGCGGUGAAAUGCGUAGAGAUUAGGAAGAACACCAGUGGCGAAGGCGAUUCUCUGGACCGUAACUGACGCUGAGGCAUGAAAGCGUGGGUAGCAAACAGGAUUAGAUACCCCAGUAGUC